Molecule: long non-coding RNA, 436 nt
Organism: Cavia porcellus (domestic guinea pig)
Lineage: Eukaryota; Metazoa; Chordata; Mammalia; Rodentia; Caviidae
Exons: 3
Source: RefSeq, a predicted model, not a curated record
GGCAUAACUUUGAUCACGAGAAUGCCUUGCACCUCUGGUGGACUGAAUGGACCGAUUCACAAAUGUGUCCUAUCUUAUUCAUUUAAGAACAUCAGGGCCCAAAUGUGAAGUGCCUAUAAUGUGCAGAACUGAAGUCUUAGAUGCCUGUGGAGAAACUGUGAGGACAGACCUUCGGCCUCCCAGCUAUUGUCACCAGGAGAAGCAGCCACCCUCACAGGCAAGGCUGGCCAGAAUGUUGGCAGCUACUUGUCCUGAUACCAGCGUAAACCAGGGUAGCCUCCCUACUUUAUCAUCUAUGGUGCAUCCACCAGGGAUCCUGACAUUGCAUCAAGGUUCAGUGACAAAGGGUCUGGCAUAGACUUUACUCUCACUAGGACCAGACUGAUGCCUGAGGAUGUUGCAGCUUAUUAUUGUCAGAAGAUGAAUAUCGCGUGUC